Molecule: unclassified non-coding RNA, 520 nt
Filed under: uncultured Entrophospora
Lineage: Eukaryota; Fungi; Glomeromycota; Glomeromycetes; Entrophosporales; Entrophosporaceae
Description: SSU rRNA
Rfam family: Eukaryotic small subunit ribosomal RNA
Source: RNAcentral
AGCAGCCGCGGUAAUUCCAGCUCCAAUAGCGUAUAUUAAAGUUGUUGCAGUUAAAAAGCUCGUAGUUGAAUUUCGGGAUUGACACAUCGGUCGUGCCUUAAGGGGUAUGAACUGGUGUAGUCAAUUUCUCACCUUCUGGAGAACCGCGAUGCCCUUAAUUGGGUGUCGCGGGGAACCAGGACCUUUACUUUGAAAAAUUAGAGUGUUUAAAGCAGGCAUUUUGCUUGAAUACAUUAGCAUGGAAUAAUAAAAUAGGACGGCAUGAUUCUAUUUUGUUGGUUUCUAGGAUCACCGUAAUGAUUAAUAGGGAUAGUUGGGGGCAUUAGUAUUCAAUUGUCAGAGGUGAAAUUCUUGGAUUUAUUGAAGACUAACUACUGCGAAAGCAUUUGCCAAGGAUGUUUUCAUUAAUCAAGAACGAAAGUUAGGGGAUCGAAGACGAUCAGAUACCGUCGUAGUCUUGACCAUAAACUAUGCCGACUAGGAAUCAGACGAUGUUAAUUUUUAAUGUACUCGUUUGGCA